Culex pipiens (northern house mosquito) is the source of this 74-nucleotide non-coding RNA. The record is from Rfam. Lineage: Eukaryota; Metazoa; Arthropoda; Insecta; Diptera; Culicidae.
GGCUCCGUGGCUUAAUGGUUACGGCUUCUGCCCCACAAGCAGAAGGUUCAGGGAUAAAAUCCCGGCCGGUACCU